GGGUUUGUUUUAAAAACUACUCUGAUAUGGACCAAGCACAAGAGAGAACUUUUGGGUCCAUCCCUGGGUAGAAGGCAGUGAUUAUGGGGGAACAUUGAUGCCAUGAACCUUAUCCUAAUUACAAAAAAAGUUUCCAAGUUCGGAGUUGUAGCAACUGUCUCAGAGCCAGUGCCAGUCCUAUCUUCUCUGUUGAUCCCCCUCCCAUGCUGAAGACCACCAGCAACACACCUGUGUCUGAGCAGAGCUGGGCUCAUUGGCUCCUUUGCAACCAGGACAGCAGCCCGACACAGGAACCCACUCCAUGGGGAAGUGGAGGCUCCUGGCCAAGAGGGGGUGCAGAAAUGGCGGAAUAUGCUCAGGCUUCGGACAGUAAUGAGGCAGCAGGAACACUUGCUUAUGUUUAAGGUUUGGAUAGAAUUCUGGCCAUUGUCUUGGAUGUAGCUGGGCUUGGUGACCAUUUCUGCAACUCUCAUGGCUCCCCCAUCCUCUGUUGGGGUGUCCCUGCAGCCUCUUGCAGCUCCCCUUCUUACCUAAAGCUGGAGAAGCACCCCACUGCCAC
This 559-nucleotide long non-coding RNA is filed under the name Heterocephalus glaber (naked mole-rat). Its description in RNAcentral is "lncRNA (ENSHGLG00000044266.1)". The record is from RNAcentral. Lineage: Eukaryota; Metazoa; Chordata; Mammalia; Rodentia; Bathyergidae.